AGGAACCACUCGUACAUUGCGGUUCCUGCAUGCCCGCACGCAGCCACCUGACGAGGGCUCGCCACGUUUAAGCCGUUCCUAGCGCGUCAGUC
RNAcentral lists this small RNA (92 nucleotides) under Xanthomonas vasicola. RNAcentral describes it as "sX9". RNAcentral also lists the same sequence under 3 other names. The record is from RNAcentral. Lineage: Bacteria; Pseudomonadati; Pseudomonadota; Gammaproteobacteria; Lysobacterales; Lysobacteraceae.